Molecule: ribosomal RNA, 505 nt
Filed under: uncultured bacterium
Lineage: Bacteria
Description: partial 16S ribosomal RNA
Rfam family: Bacterial small subunit ribosomal RNA
Source: RNAcentral
GACGAACGCUGGCGGCGUGCCUAAUACAUGCAAGUCGAACGCACAGUUUAUACCGUAGCUUGCUACACCAUAGACUGUGAGUUGCGAACGGGUGAGUAACGCGUAGGUAACCUGCCUGGUAGCGGGGGAUAACUAUUGGAAACGUUAGCUAAUACAGCAUAAUAUUAAUUAUUGCAUGAUAAUUAAUAGAAAGGUGCAAUUGAACCACUACCAGAUGGACAUGAGUUGUAUUAGCUAGUAGGUCAGGUAACGGCUCACCUAGGCGACGGUACAUAGCCUACCCGAGAGGGUGAACGGCCAAACUGGGACCGAGACACGGCCCAGGAUUCUACGGGAGGCAGCAGUAGGGGAUUUUCGGCAAUGGACGAAAGUCUGAACGAGGAACGCCGGGGGAGGGAAGAAGGUUUUCGGAUCGGAAAGCUCUGUUGUAAGGGAAGAACGGGUGUGAGAGUGGAAAGUUCACGCUGUGACGGUAUCUAACCAGAAAGGGACGGCUAACUACGUG